AGUGAUGUGAGAAUGACAUUGAAAAACCACUGUGCUUAUCAUCCUUAGAGUACAGGGUUGAUGGAAAGAACAAAUGGUACUGUGAAAAGCAGACUAAAAAGUGUAUUGGAGGAACUGGUAGGCCCUGGACGCAAUGUUUAGACUUGGUAAAAUUAUACAUUAACAUUACAAGUACAUCAAAACUUACACCUUUUUAAACAUUAUUUGGAAGACUGUAUAGAUUGUCACAGUUUAAUAAUCAAUGGUAAAUAGAUGAGGAAGCUACUUAAGCUGAUUAUAUGAGAAGCUAACUUAAAUAAACAAAAAUCAAACUAUUUUGGCCUAUACUCUCAUCUCGGCGUAUUUUUCCUAAGUGGGACGGGCCGUACCAGGUGCUGCUGACUACUCCCACAGCCAUAAAAAUAGCAGAAAGGUCAUUUCAGACCAGAAGUAAAAAAAAAAAAAAGACAAAAAAAGUUCCGGGGGCUCAUUGACCUACAGGGCAAAGGCCAGGUUGCAAAGGGGGCUAAACCUAAUAGUUUGACCGUCUCAAAACUGGUGAAGAUUGUCCACAACCCUGGAGCAUCCUUAGGAGCCGAACGAACUUAAAUAUUACUGAAAUGGCGAAUAAAAAUGUUGUUUUUUAUUUUCAUUUUAUGUUUUCAGCCUGGACAAAAUAAUAACUGCUUAUUAUUUUAUUAUUCUUAUUAUUAAUGGUAGAUCAGGCU
Molecule: long non-coding RNA, 707 nt
Organism: Poecilia latipinna (sailfin molly)
Lineage: Eukaryota; Metazoa; Chordata; Actinopteri; Cyprinodontiformes; Poeciliidae
Exons: 2
Source: RefSeq, a predicted model, not a curated record